Hemiscyllium ocellatum (epaulette shark) is the source of this 2584-nucleotide long non-coding RNA. RefSeq lists it as uncharacterized. The record is from RefSeq and is a predicted model, not a curated record. NCBI's taxonomy places the organism in Eukaryota, Metazoa, Chordata, Chondrichthyes, Orectolobiformes, Hemiscylliidae. The transcript is spliced from 2 exons.
UGGCUGGCCAGCAGAAGACAGCGAGUGGUAGUGGAAGGAAAAUAUUCUGCCUGGAAGUCAGUGGGCCAUAUAAACAUAUCUUCAAAUUGACCGAGACCAUUUUCUGCUCAGGGUAUGGCUCUGUGUAUGACAGCAGCAAUGAUGCACCGACAUGGAACAGGGAAUGUGAUGGAGACAUAGUUUGGACAAUGUACAAGGAGACCUCACAUGGUCCAGUUUGGGAGAGAAUGACAUUAUUGUGUGAUUCAACUCAGAGAGGGAGAAAAUGUCAUCUGCCCGAGAAGAAACGGCCUAUUGCACUCUCUCUCCUUCAUUAUUCCUCAUCACAGUAACGUGUACGAGCUAAAACAAAACUCUACUGUUAUUGUUACCAUUCUUAUUUUUAUAGAAUCUCAGCAGUGUGGAAACAAGCCCUUCGGCCCAACAAGUACAUACCAACUUUCCAAAGAGUAACCUUCCCAUGCCCUUACAGUUACCACUGACUAGUGCACCUAAAGUAGAAAUCGCGGAACACGAUGGACUAUUUGACCAAUCCACUUGAAUUAUACAGCUUUGGGCUGUGGCAGGAAACGGGAGCACCCAUCAGAAGCUCACGCAGACAAGGGGAGAAGAUCCAAACUCCACGCAGAUAGUCACCCGAGGCUGGAAUUGAACUCAUGUCCCUGAUGCUGUGAUGGAACAGUGUGAACUACUGAGCCACUGUGCUAACCUGGAACCUCCUGCCAGCCUAAUGCAAAGGGAAUUCAGCCAAAUCCAACUCUCCCAGGAUAAAAUCCCAUUGCUAGCAGCUGUGUGAGUGGAAUAUCUUCAGAAGCAGAAUCACAUUUUGGACAAUCUCUCAAUUUUUCCUUUUGUCAUGAGUUACACUAAUAUUUGGAUAAGGUUCUUUCAACGUGAAAUUGCACAGAUUUGUGUGUGUGUGUGUGUGUGUGUGUGUGUGUGUGUGUGUGUGUGUGUGUGUGUGUGUGUGUUUGUGUGUAUCAGUGUUUUUAGAAUGGGAAAUAUCGAGUCUUUAUUUGCAAUACGCAAACAGUUUGCCAUCCAUCUUUCCAUCAUAGUUGGAGUAACAUUGCUCUGGAUCGUAAACGUGUUGUUUUAGCAGAUUACAGAAACUAGCCUGACUUGUUCCUAAAACUGACCCUGACCCAGUCUGAGACCGAUAUCAUCGGCCAUAUCACCGACCUGGUUACAUUUAACAUUUGUUGUGAGCAGUGGAGGAGUGGGACUAGAAAAGGAGACAGUGACCCAAAAAGCCGGGGAACUAUAGACCGGUGAGCCUGAUGUCAGUGGUGGGUGAGUUGUUCGAAGGGAUUCUGUGGGAUAGCAUUUACAUACGUUUGGGAAGGCAAGGACUGAUCUCAUUAAUGUCUCAUUAAUUUGAUUGAGUUUUAUGAAGAGGUGACAAAGAAGAUUGAUGAAGGCAGUUUGGUAGACAUUGUCUAUGUGGACCUCAGCAAGGUGUUCAUAACAUUCCGAUUGGUAGGCAGAUUAGGAAGUUUCAGUCACAUGGGAUACAGAAGAAGCUCAUCACAAUUGGCUUGAAGGAAGAGGGAUAUUUUUCAGACUGGAGGCUUGUGAGCAGAAAUUAUACACUUAAUGGUAAGGGCCUGGGGAGUGUUGUGAAACAAAUGGACAUAAGGCUGCAGGUACAUUGUUCCUUGAAAGUGAAGUUGAAUGCAGACAGUGCGGUACUGAACACAUUUGCCUUAAUCAGUCAGAGCAUUGUGUAUAGGAGUUGUGGUGGAGGGAAAUGGGGUUAGCGUGGAUGGACAUUUACAAGGUGGAGUCGAACCCUUCUGUUAAUUAAAACCAAACACCCAGAAAAGCUCGCCUCACCUCGUAAUCUGUUAAAAUAUGAGCGACACAGAUCUCCUACAUUCCACUAUUUAAACAAAGAUUAACAAGUUUAUUUCUUAACUUUAUUAGUGAAAACUAAACAACAGCUAUUCACAAAUACAAGCCCCUCUUUUCUUAGCUACUUACUAUCUGACUCCAACUCUGUAAAAAGUAUGUUGUUCCAACAACCCACAUAUUAAACAUUACAAUCUCAAGACCAUACAGUCUCUAUCUUCCCCGCUGUAUUCACUCUUUCAGCUGCUGAUCUCCUUGGUUCAUUUUUUUUAUUGCAAAGAGGUUUGCAUGAACAUGUGUCUUUGAUAGAGUGUGUUUGAGAUGGUCAGUUAGCACUCCUGCUCUACAGCAGUUGCUCUACUGUUGGAUGGCAGUAGCUCUCUCUAGUGUUCAAAAUGCUGGGUUUAUAUACUCCCCAUGAUAUAAUAAUUCUCAUAAUUUGAUUGCUUUCCAGGCGUCCAAACAAUAAUAUUCAAAUUCUGUUGGCUUCUGGUAUCCUGAGUGUUAUUUAAACUCUUUGGUUACAUUUGUAUGGCUGUCAAAACAGCAACCAAAACUCAGGAAUCCAUUUCUCAGCUAAUGGUGACAUGUGGAACAGUGUGACCUUCAGCUGGCAUCUGUGGCUUUAAUUUCUAUUCAGCAAAACCCGAUCUGUUUUAAAGUGUCCAUAUAUGUUUUUGUCUUCAUAACAUCUCCCCGCUUCAGAAAAUAAAAUGAACUAGCUGAAUGAAAA